CAAUUCAUUUCCCUUUUCGUAACGAGUUUUAUAUCGGUCAAGAAUAAAUUAAAAUCGAAAUAAACGAUCUAUGCACACGUGAAAAUUGCAUUACUUAAUAGGAAAGAGGAAAUGUCGUUCACGGAACGAAGAUAGGAGUCAUUCCCCGUUUUAUGCACGAGAGAUUACACCAGGGAGGAAAAGUUUGCCACGUAGAAUAAUGCUUUAAUUGAUGAAAUCUAGUUCCAUACGAUACCAACUGUUACGGGCUUCUAAAACCAUAGUUGAAUACCUCUGCGAGAAAGUGCGGAAAAUUGAAUUUUCGUUAUCAACAACUUUUCUUUACUUUUUUUUUAUUUUCUCCCGCAAACGAUUCAUUUUGUCCUUAAGUACACGCGAUUACGUACAUUCAGAUGAAUAAAAAGAAAAAAAAGAAGAGAAAGAAGAAAAAAACAACGAAAACGAAAUUCUCGAGAGUCGAAAUAAAACUUGAAUAUCGACGAUUGUUCUUGCACGACAUCUCGCGGUUCAUCGACGAAACAACACCAGAUCGAAAAAUUCGUUUCCCCGGGAUAGACACAUCCGUCCGGGAUAUCGGUGUUGCGUCGGUUCUCACGACCGAAAUUUAGCGCGCUCGUGCGGCUUACGAGCCGGCUUCAGCUGUUUAAUUUACCGCUCGAAAUAAUUUGAAUAGGGUUUCGUCGUGCAAUAACAUCUCGAAGAUGAGCCGUGCGCCGUGUGUCGUAGGCGAAUGCACGGAGCUCAACCGACUAGUAGCGACUCCUGGGAGAGAGGGGCUGCGAACAAGGCUGCAUACCUUCGCCUCCCUCCCCUCCUCACGGCUUGUCGACGUCGCUCUCUGUUACAGGACGUAUCCCCCCGGGGUCGUAAUGGUAAGUCUCUCUCUCCACGCGAGGACCCGAAAUUAAUAACGCGGCCUGGCGCAAAUACGGCGCACAUAAUUAAAGCGAUAUUACGAUCCGGGACACCGGAUGGCGCUGUAUCGUCUAACAACCGGCUGACUCUCCGUGUCCGUAUUAUUUACCUCUACUCACCGGUGCUCGCGCGUAUUCAAGAUGUGUACAUUUUGAUUACCCAUCUACGCAAACUGUUUGCAAACAGUCGGCUGAUUUGUGUCAAUAUUCCCAGUCGUGAUCGAUCAAGGUUAAUAAGUACUAACUAUUCAUAAGAGGAAUAUCAAGUGGAUUAAAACUUUCUCCUUUGAGGAUCGAGCUCAUUCUCGACAGACACUCUCGGCUACAUUACCAUUCAGGGCCAAUCAUGGAGCAAACUAACGGUCUUCUCAAACAUUAAAGGAAACGUAGGGUGAAAUUCAAAGGGUGGGUCUCCUCAUAAAGUGAUAAAGUGAUAAUUUUGUGAAGUGGCAAAACGAUGUAAAAAAGAAAAAAAUCACGCGAUCAACGACUAGAGUGGUGCGGAAUUUUCCGUUUGAAGGUUUUGGAUAUCAAAGUUUCGAAAGUGAGUGAUGCACAGUUGUGGAAAGGAAAUGGGCAAAUGUGGAAGGUAAACAAGAACGGAAUAAAGUGAAUAAAGCUGUGAAAGAAAAGUGGAGGAAGGAAACAUUGGAUGGAGGAAAAAUUGAAAAAUAGGAGAAAAGAUGGAGGGAGUGAAAAGGAAGGAAUUGAAGGAGAGAGGCAGAUAAAAAUAUAUAUAUAUAUAUAUAUACAUAUAGAGAGGAUCAAGGAAUAAAAUGAAAUAGAAAAGAUGCGGAACAAGUACUGAGAGAAUGUUUGAGAUGAUGCACAGAGUUCCCUGAUGUAUGAGAUAGUUUCGCAUAGGGGCCGCUUGCUGCAACACCGCCGCCAACACUGUCGAGGAAACGUUGCCCCAUAAAAUAUGUCUCGCGCGUUAGCUUAUGCUAGCUACAUGCACACAUGUACCACGCACAUCCUUCCGUUGAACGUGUUGAAGGUGACACGACGAAGGAGAAGAUAACGUCGACGAUAGAGGUUGAAGUAUAAACCACUCGAGGGACUCGUUUGAUGCCUUCCCAUCAUGUAGCUUUCGUGCACGAGCUUAUCUUUAUCCAAAAUUAUUACGACGAUAUUCUCUACCUUCUUUAUACAUAUAUAUAUACAUAUACACACACGUAUACACACAUACUUUUUCUUCCUCUCUAAACAAGUAAGAACUUUAUCUUAACGACACGAUUGAAAAACGCGCGUUUAAUUGGACGAUUCGCAAUUCGACGAAAAUGGGCAAGCGGGAUGGAGAAUAAGGAUAGAGAGAUAGCUUGGAAGUCACGAAUCAGGCGAGAGAGGGCAGCAGCGGGCGAGGCACAGACGCCUCUGUUAUAUCGUGGCGAUUUUCGCACCGACGGCGAAGCAAAUUGCCGACUUUUCGCGAAAUAACGGAUGGACAGGGAUGGACCGGGUCCCCGAUAAAAAGCGGAGGGAUAUAAACGGCGGAACGGUUGGACGAUAAAAUUUAUGUAAUCCCCCGUAAGUAAGCUGGGGAGGGAGGGACCGUAUCUACAUCCCUGAAAUAUACGAAUAGGUUAAUAAUUCUAAGGACAUCGUGAGUACGUCGCGAAAAUUUGGACGGCGGCCAAGAAAGUUUCCAACCAAAGAUAUCGGCCUCUCGUAUCUCUUCCCUCUCCCGAUGUAUUGAAACUUGGCGCGGGGAGAGGGUGGGGGAGGAGAGGGGGUAGUCGUUUAUUAGAUUUCAAUUUGGACAUUGUCCAAGAUCGCUUAAUUUAUCGAGCCGCUUGUUCGCUUAUCCAGAGCUCGAAUUUCGCUAAAAAAAAAAAAAAA
Apis mellifera (honey bee) is the source of this 2753-nucleotide long non-coding RNA. RefSeq lists it as uncharacterized. Lineage: Eukaryota; Metazoa; Arthropoda; Insecta; Hymenoptera; Apidae. The transcript has 2 exons. The record is from RefSeq and is a predicted model, not a curated record.